Molecule: transfer RNA, 73 nt
Filed under: Perca fluviatilis (European perch)
Lineage: Eukaryota; Metazoa; Chordata; Actinopteri; Perciformes; Percidae
Description: tRNA-Gln
Rfam family: tRNA
About the family: Transfer RNA (tRNA) molecules are approximately 80 nucleotides in length. Their secondary structure includes four short double-helical elements and three loops (D, anti-codon, and T loops).
Source: RNAcentral
GUGGUGAUGGCCUAGUGGAUAUGACACAUACCUUUGGUGUAGGAGACGUGGGUUCAAUUCCCACUGCAAUACA